RNAcentral lists this long non-coding RNA (619 nucleotides) under Gallus gallus (chicken). RNAcentral describes it as "lncRNA (ENSGALG00010027750.1)". The record is from RNAcentral. Lineage: Eukaryota; Metazoa; Chordata; Aves; Galliformes; Phasianidae.
UGGAAAUGCUAAGUCACGGCCUGAAGCAGUAAUUGAGCACCUGGUGGGAAGGCAGGGCCAACCCAGGGAAGCUCAGGUGCAUGCAAUGCACCUGAGUGGCCGGAAGAGGUGGAAUCAGGAUCCACCCCUUCCCAGACCUCAUUUAAGGGCUGGCAGUGGAGGUGAGGAUAUCUCUUGUUGGAGAUUUCUACCUACCAGAGGCCUUCUAAAGGAAGACAAAAAGCAGAAAAAAAAUUGCACUUAAAUCUCUGGAUCUAUGAAGAAAGGAGGAAUACAUCAGGAAAAAAGGACUCUAGCCAGCAAUAGCAUCAUUAAAUUAUUCUAAUCAAGAGAGCUUCAGGGUCACCAAGAAUCAACUGCAAGUCCAUAUUUAUGAAGUUAUGGGUGUAAUCUCACACUAACAUAUUUGAUUGGCCUCUGGAACUCGCAGACCACAAAUAUUUAGGCAAAUCUUGGGCUUCUGGGGCAGAGUGAAAGCAAUCUGAAUGCAAUAUUAGCCAUUGCGCUAUAACCAAAAGUUCUAUUCAUUCAUAAUUGAAAUGGAGCUUGAGUAUACACCAGUUCUAUUGGGAGUCUGGGAAAGACAAAUGCACUUCAACAGUGGAAACAGGUCAUUAGG